GGAACACUCGUUUAGUUUCACAACCAUCCUGUAUCCAAGGGAAAAUGAGGGAUUAUCAACUAGCUGGAUUAAAUUGGCUCAUUCGAUUAUAUGAGAAUGGCAUAAAUGGAAUCCUUGCCGAUGAGAUGGGGCUUGGCAAGACAUUACAAACCAUCUCCUUGUUGGGCUAUCUCCAUGAGUACAGAGGCAUAACAGGCCCCCAUAUGGUAGUUGCACCAAAAUCUACCCUGGGAAACUGGAUGAAUGAAAUUCGGCGAUUUUGCCCUGUCUUGCGUGCUGUAAAGUUUCUUGGAAAUCCUGAUGAAAGGAGGGAUAUACGGGAAAAUUUACUGGUUGCUGGGAAAUUUGAUGUCUGUGUUACCAGUUUCGAAAUGGCCAUUAAGGAGAAGACUUGCUUGCGUCGUUUCAGUUGGCGCUACAUUAUUAUUGAUGAAGCUCAUCGAAUUAAGAAUGAGAAUUCCCUCCUUUCAAAGACAAUGAGGCUUUAUAACACCAACUACCGUCUUCUAAUCACUGGCACACCGC
This 525-nucleotide unclassified non-coding RNA is filed under the name Hevea brasiliensis (rubber tree). Lineage: Eukaryota; Viridiplantae; Streptophyta; Magnoliopsida; Malpighiales; Euphorbiaceae. The record is from RNAcentral.